GUACUGAGACACGGACCAGACUCCUACGGGAGGCAGCAGUGAGGAAUAUUGGACAAUGGAGGCAACUCUGAUCCAGCCAUGCCGCGUGCAGGAUGACUGCCCUAUGGGUUGUAAACUGCUUUUAUACAGGAAGAAUUGUGCCUACGUGUAGGCAUUUGACGGUACUGUACGAAUAAGGAUCGGCUAACUCCGUGCCAGCAGCCGCGGUAAUACGGAGGAUCCAAGCGUUAUCCGGAAUCAUUGGGUUUAAAGGGUCCG
RNAcentral lists this ribosomal RNA (258 nucleotides) under uncultured Bacteroidota bacterium. Its description in RNAcentral is "uncultured Bacteroidetes bacterium partial 16S ribosomal RNA". It matches the Rfam family "Bacterial small subunit ribosomal RNA", at positions 316 to 571 of the family's 1533-position model. The record is from RNAcentral. Lineage: Bacteria; Pseudomonadati; Bacteroidota.